CCUACGGGUGGCAGCAGUAGGGAAUAUUGCUCAAUGGGGGAAACCCUGAAGCAGCAACGCCGCGUGGAGGAUGAAGGUUUUCGGAUUGUAAACUCCUUUUGUUAGAGAAGAUAAUGACGGUAUCUCACGAAUAAGCACCGGCUAACACCGUGCCAGCAGCCGCGGUAAUACGGAGGGUGCAAGCGUUACUCGGAAUUACUGGGCGUAAAGAGCGCGUAGGCGGGUUAGCAAGUCAGAUGUGAAAUCCUAUGGCUUAACCAUAGAACUGCAUUUGAAACUGUUAUUCUGGAGUAUAGGAGAGGUAGGUGGAAUUCUUGGUGUAGCGGUAAAAUGCGUAGAGAUCAAGAGGAAUACCCAUUGCGAAGGCGACCUGCUAGAACAUAACUGACGCUGAUGCGCGAAAGCGUGGGGAGCAAACAGGAUUAGAUACCCCAGUAGUC
Molecule: ribosomal RNA, 440 nt
Filed under: uncultured bacterium
Lineage: Bacteria
Description: partial 16S ribosomal RNA
Rfam family: Bacterial small subunit ribosomal RNA
Source: RNAcentral